Molecule: RNA transcript, 2453 nt
Organism: Capsicum annuum
Lineage: Eukaryota; Viridiplantae; Streptophyta; Magnoliopsida; Solanales; Solanaceae
Gene name: DEAD-box ATP-dependent RNA helicase 5
Exons: 14
Source: RefSeq, a predicted model, not a curated record
UUUGUUUCCUUAAACCUUAGGGUUUUGCUGUCUUCGCCAUAUUGAGCAGCCAUGGUAGCAAAGCAAUUAGAUGACGAACAACAAACCCUCAACUAUGAAUCCAAAUCGCAUAAGAAAAACAAGAGAAAGCUCGAAGAAUCUGACCCUGACGUUUUUGUAGAGUCCAAAAAGGAGAAAAAGAAGAAGAAGGAGAAACAGAAGCAAGAACAAGAAGUGCAUAAUGGGAGCAGUGAAACUCUUUGUGGGGUUGAUGGAAAUACUGAAAUAAUUGAUGGGUCAGUUGAGUUUUCUGAAAAGACGAAGAAGAAGAAAAAGAAGAAGGGUAAACAGAAUCAAGAACAAGAAGGGUAUAAUUGGAACACUGAAACUCUUAGUGGGUCUAAUGGAAAUACUGAAUUAUUUGAGAAGAAGAAGAAGAAUAAGGUAGAGGAAGAGAAUUUGAAUGAUGGGUCUGUUAAUGGGGAAGUUAAAGAAAAUAGUACAAAUGUGGUGGUUACUGGUAAAGGAGCUAAUGAGUCAAAGUACAAAGCUUUAACAAACUUUGUAGAUUCAGGGCUUCCAAGGGAAGUAUUGGAAUGUUGCAAGAACUUCGAGAAACCAUCGCCAAUUCAGUCUCAUUCAUGGCCUUUUCUUUUAGAUGGUCGUGAUUUCAUUGGAAUUGCGAGAACUGGAUCAGGUAAGACGUUGGCUUUUGGUAUUCCGGCUAUUAUGCACAUCAUGAGUAAGCGGAAUAGUAAGAAGUCUAAGAAUCCCGUUUGCCUUGUGCUUUCGCCUACGAGGGAGCUAGCUCAACAAAUAGCAGAUGUUCUCUGUGAGGCUGGGAAGUCUACUGCUGUGCAAUCAGUUGUUCUAUAUGGCGGAGUUGAAAAGCACCAUCAAAAGGCUUCUCUUAGAUCUGGUGUGGAUAUUGUUAUUGGAACCCCAGGUCGUUUGCAAGAUAUGAUGGAAAUGGGAGCUUGUAACUUAAAAGAGGUUUCUUUUGUGGUGCUAGAUGAAGCUGAUCGCAUGCUUGAUUUAGGUUUUGAACCAGCAGUCCGUGCUAUAUUGAGCCAAACAUGCUCUGUUCGGCAGAUGGUUAUGUUCAGUGCUACAUGGCCUCCGGCUGUUCAUCAAUUAGCUCAAGAAUUCAUGGAUCCCAAUCCAAUCAAGGUAGUUGUAGGUUCAGAAGAUUUGGCUGCCAACCAUGAUGUCAUGCAAAUUGUCGAGGUCUUGGAAGAUCGAGCCCGUGAUGAGCGUUUACAAAACUUGCUGGAAAAGUACCACAAGUCUAGAAGGAAUAGAGUAUUGGUUUUUGUUUUAUACAAGAAGGAAGCAUCUCGUGUUGAAAUGAUGCUACAGAAAAGGGGUUGGAAAGUCGUGUCCAUUAGUGGUGACAAGCAACAGCAUGCUCGUACUAAGGCACUGUCACUCUUCAAGGACGGAAGCUGUCCUCUAAUGAUAGCUACUGAUGUAGCUGCUCGAGGACUGGAUAUACCUGAUGUUGAAGUUGUGAUAAAUUAUAGUUUCCCUUUGACAACAGAGGAUUAUGUUCAUAGAAUUGGAAGAACUGGAAGGGCUGGUAAAAAAGGUGUAGCUCAUACAUUCUUCACUAAGGAUAACAAGGGACUUUCUGGGGAGUUAAUAAAUGUCCUCAGAGAAGCUGGACAGACUGUUCCAGCUGCCCUUCUCAAUUUUGGAACCCAUGUAAAGAAAAAGGAGUCCAAGAUCUAUGGUGCUCAUUUUAGAGAAAUUGAUGCAAAUGCUCCAAAGGCUACAAAAAUAAAAUUUGGCGAUUCUGAUAACGAAGAUUGAGCAAAACCAAUAUAAAUGUUGCCAAUUUGUCAUUGAGUUGUAGCAGCACGACUCAUUUGAAUUGGUUCCAAGCUUCCUCAUCCUGACAUUCUAUAGAAUGUCAUUUGGCGGACACAUGGAGAAGUGGAUCGUUGUGAGAAGAACGCAAGAGAUACCCCACAGCUAUCAGCUCAUGUACGUCCACAGAAAAUUCCUGUUUCUGUGCAAUUGAAGGUCAACAAUGAUGAUGGGUUGGGUGUUGAUUGAUGCUGCUAUUCGUAACAUCAGGGGGUAAUUUGGAAUAAUAAGUUUACUGAUCGUUUUGGUGAUGAUGGAAGUUGUCCGCUUGUUUUUGGGGAUAUACUGUGUGCUAGUCAGGUAUCCGAAGAGUAAACUCUUUUGGAAUUAAUGAAAAUUAGAAUCAAGAAAGUUUAUGGCAGUUGAUGUGAAAUCUGGUGUUAAUAAGAUUACGAGUACUGCUGAUAAGCCAGGUUUUGGUGUUACUAAGUUUAGGUUUUUAGUGAUGUUGAUGAGCCAGUCUUUUGUGUUGGAUCUUAUGAUUUCCUUCUUCCUAAGCAUGUCUACUUGUGAGUGGAUAAAUUACAUAAUACAACACCUUUAAUUUAUCAUUGUUACUUAAAAUUUUAACCUUUUAAAAUAAUUACAUAAAUCCUUUUCUUUUA